GGAGAGCUGGCCGAGCUGGCCGAAGGCAGCUGCCUGCUAAGCAGUUGUAGGGGUAAAACUCUACCGCGGGUUCGAAUCCCGCCCUCUCCGCCA
Molecule: transfer RNA, 93 nt
Filed under: Deltaproteobacteria bacterium GWA2_43_19
Lineage: Bacteria; Deltaproteobacteria
Also listed under: 1 other name
Description: tRNA-Ser
Rfam family: tRNA
About the family: Transfer RNA (tRNA) molecules are approximately 80 nucleotides in length. Their secondary structure includes four short double-helical elements and three loops (D, anti-codon, and T loops).
Source: RNAcentral